CCUACGGGUGGCAGCAGUAGGGAAUUUUCGGCAAUGGGCGAAAGCCUGACCGAGCAACGCCGCGUGAGCGAAGAAGGUUUUCGGAUUGUAAAGCUCUGUUAUAGAGGAAGAACGGUGUCGGUAGGAACUGACGUACCAGUGACGGUACCCUGCGAGGAAGCCACGGCUAACUACGUGCCAGCAGCCGCGGUAAUACGUAGGUGGCGAGCGUUAUCCGGAUUCAUUGGGCGUAAAGCGGGAGCAGGCGGCCUGGAGGGUCUAUUGUGAAAAGGCAGGGACGUAACCAUGGCAAGGCGAAGAAACCGGCAGGCUAGAGUUCUAAAGAGGAUAGUGGAAUUCCAUGUGUAGCGGUGAAAUGCGUAGAUAUAUGGAGGAACACCAGUGGCGAAGGCGACGAUCUGGGAAGAAACAGACGCUGAGGCCCGAAAGCGUGGGGAGCAAAUAGGAUUAGAUACCCCAGUAGUC
Molecule: ribosomal RNA, 465 nt
Filed under: uncultured bacterium
Lineage: Bacteria
Description: partial 16S ribosomal RNA
Rfam family: Bacterial small subunit ribosomal RNA
Source: RNAcentral